GAUCUCCAUAGCUCAGUGGUAGAGCAUUUGCUUUAUAUGCUAAGGGUCCCAAGUUUGAUCCCUGGCAUCUCCA
Molecule: non-coding RNA, 73 nt
Organism: Podarcis lilfordi (Lilford's wall lizard)
Lineage: Eukaryota; Metazoa; Chordata; Lepidosauria; Squamata; Lacertidae
Source: the annotation of a GenBank genome assembly